UACGGAGAGGGCGAGUGUUAUUCGCAUUGACUGGGUGUAAAGGGUGCGUAGGUGGUUUGUUAAGUUUUAAGGUAAAUGUUAAACAUAAAGUUUAAACCCCUUUUAAUACUAAUAAACUAGAGUUUAUUGGAAGAUAGCUGAACAUUAAGUGUAAAGGUGAAAUUUUUCGAUAUUUAAAGGACAUGCAAUAGGCGAAGGCUGCUAUCUACUUUAAUACUGACACUGAGGCACAAAAGCAUAGGGAUCAAACAGG
This 253-nucleotide ribosomal RNA is filed under the name uncultured bacterium. RNAcentral's name for it is "partial 16S ribosomal RNA". It matches the Rfam family "Bacterial small subunit ribosomal RNA", at positions 524 to 776 of the family's 1533-position model. The record is from RNAcentral. RNAcentral also lists the same sequence under 1 other name.